AGGGCUGCUCAUACAUGGAGCUGUGACAGGUGGCUCCUCUGUAGCCGCUGUUGGAGCAGUUGCAGUGGAAAGUGUUCCAUGAUUGUGCACAUUUGCCUCCAUGUUCACAGUGGCUGGAAGAGCACCUGAAAGAGAGAGAAAGAGACACA
This is a long non-coding RNA of Thalassophryne amazonica, 149 nucleotides long. RefSeq lists it as uncharacterized. The record is from RefSeq and is a predicted model, not a curated record. Lineage: Eukaryota; Metazoa; Chordata; Actinopteri; Batrachoidiformes; Batrachoididae. The transcript is spliced from 3 exons.